Molecule: non-coding RNA, 493 nt
Organism: Crotalus tigris (Tiger rattlesnake)
Lineage: Eukaryota; Metazoa; Chordata; Lepidosauria; Squamata; Viperidae
Source: the annotation of a RefSeq genome assembly
UUUAGAGUUUAUGGAGGUUUGAAUGCAUUUCACAGAAUUCUCCUCUGACUGAUCAAAGAUGGCUUUUUGGCUAAGCUUGGCAUUCUUGCUCACAAUUCACAGAGGUGUCCAAUCUGAAGCCCAGUUGGUGGAGUCUGGAGGGAACAUGAGAAGGCCUGGACAGUCCCUCCAUCUGUCCUGCCAAGGCUCUGGAUUCACCUUCAGCAGCAAGUGGAUGGUUUGGGUGAGACAGGCUUCAGAGAAAGGAUUGGAAUGGAUUUCUUAUAUACAACCAAGUUCAGCUAGUAUUUACUAUUCAGACAAAGUGAAGGGACGCUUCACUGUCUCCAGAGACAAUGUCAAAGGCCAGCUGUAUCUGCAAAUGAACAACCUCAAAUCUGAAGACACAGCAGUCUAUUACUGUUCAGGCACAGUGAAAGGAAGUGCACAUAAAUCUUCCUUUCUUCACAGCAGCUGUUCACGUUGCUUCAGAAAUAGGAAUUUGGAUUCAUAA